Molecule: ribosomal RNA, 505 nt
Filed under: uncultured bacterium
Lineage: Bacteria
Description: partial 16S ribosomal RNA
Rfam family: Bacterial small subunit ribosomal RNA
Source: RNAcentral
GACGAACGCUGGCGGCGUGCCUAAUACAUGCAAGUAGAACGCACAGUUUAUACCGUAGCUUGCUACACCAUAGACUGUGAGUUGCGAACGGGUGAGUAACGCGUAGGUAACCUGCCUGGUAGCGGGGGAUAACUAUUGGAAACGAUAGCUAAUACCGCAUAAUAUCGAUUAUUGCAUGAUAAUUGAUUGAAAGAUGCUAUUGCAUCACUACCAGAUGGACCUGCGUUGUAUUAGCUAGUAGGUGAGGUAACGGCUCACCUAGGCGACGAUACAUAGCCGACCUGAGAGGGGGAUCGGCCACACUGGGACUGAGACACGGCCCAGACUCCUACGGGAGGCAGCAGUAGGGAAUCUUCGGCAAUAGACGAAAGUCUGACCGAGCAACGCCGCGUGAGUGAAGAAGGGCUUCGGAUCGUAAAGCUCUGUUGUAAGAGAAGAACGGGUGUGAGAGUGGAAAGUUCACACUGUGACGGUAUCUUACCAGAAAGGGACGGCUAACUACGUG